This 253-nucleotide ribosomal RNA is filed under the name uncultured bacterium. RNAcentral describes it as "partial 16S ribosomal RNA". It matches the Rfam family "Bacterial small subunit ribosomal RNA", at positions 524 to 776 of the family's 1533-position model. The record is from RNAcentral.
UACAGAGGGUGCAAGCGUUGUUCGGAAUUAUUGGGCGUAAAGGGUGCGUAGGCGGUGCGGUAAGUCUGUAGUGAGAUCUCUGGGCUCAACUCAGAGUCUGCUAUAGAAACUGCCGUGCUUGAGUGUGGGAGAGGUGAGUGGAAUUCCCGGUGUAGCGGUGAAAUGCGUAGAGAUCGGAAAGAACACCAACGGCGAAAGCACUCUGCUGGGCCGACACUGACACUGAGAGACGAAAGCUAGGGGAGCGAAUGGG